AAAGAAACUAACAAGGAUUCCCCUAGUAACGGCGAGUGAAGAGGGAAGAGCUCAAAUUUUAAAUCUGCCUUGUUCCAAGGUCGAGUUGUAAUUUGAAGAAGCGUUUUCUUGGGCUCGCGGCCGGUAGAAGUUCUUUGGAACAGGACAUCAUAGAGGGUGACAAUCCCGUCCGUGACCGGUCGUGCGUUCAUCUACGAUACGCUUUCAAAGAGUCGAGUUGUUUGGGAUUGCAGCUCCAAAUGGGUGGUAAACAUCACCUAAGGCUAAAUAUUGGCGAGAAACCGAUAGCGAACAAGUACCGUGAGGGAAAGAUGAAAAGAACUUUGAAAAGAGAGUUAAACAGUACGUGAAAUUGUUGAAAGGGAAACGAUUGAAGUCAGUCGUGCUGGCGCGAAAUCAACCAUCUCGUCUUGAGGUCGCAUGGCGCGACGAGACUCAAAACCGUCACGAAGCGUGAACUCUUGACGAGAAGGUGCACUUUCGUGUCCGCUGGUUAACAUCAAUUUCGAUCGUCAUAAAAAGGCUGGAGGGAUGUGGCUCCUUCGGGAGUGUUAUAACCUUUAGCGGAAUGUGGUGGUCGGGAUUGAGGAUUGCAACGAAUACCUUCAGGGCUGUUCCACCUGGCUUCUCAUUGGUAUCCUGAUGACGACAGCUUGCUGACUUUGUUAGGAUUCGCCUCUGAACAGGCUAGAGUGUGAGCAAAUUCGUUAAGGAUGUUG
This 719-nucleotide ribosomal RNA is filed under the name Entrophospora etunicata. Its description in RNAcentral is "eukaryotic LSU rRNA". It matches the Rfam family "Eukaryotic large subunit ribosomal RNA", at positions 58 to 628 of the family's 3401-position model. The record is from RNAcentral. Lineage: Eukaryota; Fungi; Glomeromycota; Glomeromycetes; Entrophosporales; Entrophosporaceae.